GAUGAACGCUGGCGGCGUGCUUAACACAUGCAAGUCGAACGGAGAUUAUACGCAGAGGCGAUUUCGGUCAAAUCAUGUAAAAUCUUAGUGGCGGACGGGUGAGUAACGCGUGGGUAACCUGCCUUACACUGGGGGAUAACACUUAGAAAUAGGUGCUAAUACCGCAUAAGCGCACGAAGCCGCAUGGAUUUGUGUGAAAAACUCCGGUGGUGUAAGAUGGACCCGCGUCUGAUUAGCUUGUUGGCGGGGUAACGGCCCACCAAGGCGACGAUCAGUAGCCGGCCUGAGAGGGUGGACGGCCACAUUGGGACUGAGACACGGCCCAA
RNAcentral lists this ribosomal RNA (326 nucleotides) under uncultured bacterium. RNAcentral describes it as "bacterial SSU rRNA". It matches the Rfam family "Bacterial small subunit ribosomal RNA", at positions 28 to 334 of the family's 1533-position model. The record is from RNAcentral.